AGCGUAGGCGGGGAGACAAGUUGAAUGUCUAAACUAUCGGCUUAACUGAUAGUCGCGUUCAAAACUAUCACUCUUGAGUGCAGUAGAGGUAGGCGGAAUUCCUAGUGUAGCGGUGAAAUGCGUAGAUAUUAGGAGGAACACCAGUGGCGAAGGCGGCCUACUGGGCUGUAACUGACGCUGAGGCUCGAAAGCGUGGGUAGCAAACA
This 206-nucleotide ribosomal RNA is filed under the name uncultured bacterium. Its description in RNAcentral is "partial 16S ribosomal RNA". It matches the Rfam family "Bacterial small subunit ribosomal RNA", at positions 568 to 774 of the family's 1533-position model. The record is from RNAcentral.